RNAcentral lists this long non-coding RNA (373 nucleotides) under Nicotiana tabacum (common tobacco). RNAcentral's name for it is "long non-coding RNA (NTAB_LNC017377)". Lineage: Eukaryota; Viridiplantae; Streptophyta; Magnoliopsida; Solanales; Solanaceae. The record is from RNAcentral.
CUUUCUCCGGUUUUGGGCAAAUUCGCCGACGUUGAAGUUUCCGAUCGCCGACUCCGAUUCAUGCGACAAUGAAGCUUUCGUUUUCUCUCUCUUCAAAGCCAUCUUCAAACCUAAAAAAGCAGCCGCCGUCUUCUUCUCAGACCUUCCCCUCCAGCGAUGAUCCCCGCAACAACUCCACCACCCCCACUGAUAAAGAGUACGUCACUGAAUUCGACCCAUCCAAACCUCCGGCGAGUUCCACCAAAGACGCACUCAUAAUACCUCCAAAACCUAACGAAUGGCGCCCUAUCAAACGGAUGAAAAAUCUUGAACUCCCUCUCCAACCCGCUUCCGCCGAUCAACCGCUCCAAUUCGAACUUGACACUGGCGGCAC